RNAcentral lists this ribosomal RNA (468 nucleotides) under uncultured bacterium. Its description in RNAcentral is "partial 16S ribosomal RNA". It matches the Rfam family "Bacterial small subunit ribosomal RNA", at positions 28 to 507 of the family's 1533-position model. The record is from RNAcentral.
GACGAACGCUGGCGGCGUGCUUAACACAUGCAAGUCGAACGGAAAGGCCCUGCUUUUGUGGGGUGCUCGAGUGGCGAACGGGUGAGUAACACGUGAGUAACCUGCCCUUGACUUUGGGAUAACUUCAGGAAACUGGGGCUAAUACCGGAUAGGAGCUCCUGCUGCAUGGUGGGGGGUGGAAAGUUUCGGCGGUUGGGGAUGGACUCGCGGCUUAUCAGCUUGUUGGUGGGGUAGUGGCUUACCAAGGCUUUGACGGGUAGCCGGCCUGAGAGGGUGACCGGCCACAUUGGGACUGAGAUACGGCCCAGACUCCUACGGGAGGCAGCAGUGGGGAAUAUUGCACAAUGGGCGGAAGCCUGAUGCAGCAACGCCGCGUGCGGGAUGCCGGCCUUCGGGUUGUAAAACGCUUUCGCCUGUGACGAAGCGUGAGUGACGGUAAUGGGUAAAGAAGCACCGGCUAACUACGUG